AAUUAUGCAAUUAAGGGUGUCACACAAUCAUUUCACACCAUUCACCAAAUAACUGUCAUGCUCUUUUAUUAAUUCAAAACAUAAAGCAUUUGCACAAUACGCAGCGGAUAGAAAUCAAAUCAAUCAUACAAAACAUGUAGCCUAUUACAUGUAAACUGGGUCACAACCAACAAUAAAACAUUUAAAACAUCCCAUCCCGAUGUUACAUCUACCAGAGCAUGACCCACUAAGGAACUACACUAGACUUCAAGCACUAGCUCCUACUCAAUCACUGCUCGUUACCU
This 284-nucleotide long non-coding RNA is filed under the name Lathyrus oleraceus (garden pea). Its description in RNAcentral is "Pisum sativum (pea) long non-coding RNA (PSAT_LNC029741)". The record is from RNAcentral. Lineage: Eukaryota; Viridiplantae; Streptophyta; Magnoliopsida; Fabales; Fabaceae.